UAUACUAAAUAAAGUUACUGUGUAGUAUCAGAUCUCGGAUGCUAAGCAAGUCAGGUUUGGUCAGUACUUGGAUGGGAGACCUUCAUGGAAAACGCAUGUGUUGGUGCUA
This is a ribosomal RNA of Chelonoidis abingdonii (Abingdon island giant tortoise), 109 nucleotides long. NCBI's taxonomy places the organism in Eukaryota, Metazoa, Chordata, Testudines, Testudinidae. The record is from Ensembl.